AUACUUUCGUAGUUCAUAAGCAUGAUGAUUGGGUAUUCACACACAUGCAUGAGAUAUGCCACCCUCCCACCUUGUUAGGAUGUUGGCGCAUAACCCGUCUUACA
This is a small nucleolar RNA of Macaca fascicularis (crab-eating macaque), 104 nucleotides long. The record is from Ensembl. NCBI's taxonomy places the organism in Eukaryota, Metazoa, Chordata, Mammalia, Primates, Cercopithecidae.